AACAGGUGGCCAUUCUCCCAGGGUGUUACUGUGACGUCUGAGCUGUGUGACAACGCAGAGAUUCACACCCUGUCCCGAUCCCUGCAAAUAUUCAUUAGACUCUGUACUCUUUUUAAGCAGAUCUGCCAAAGCCUGGAAAUGAAAUUUCAUUCAUUUAUGACCAAGUUACAGGACACAGGCAGCUAUUUUCAAAACCAUUCCUAAUGCUGCCUUUACUACCUGCUGGCUUCACAUCAGAGCUCUUUUUUUUGGCCCAAUCUGUGACCCCACACACAUUCAGCCAACGUGAAGCUGAGUUUUAUUUCAUAUGCUGCCAUACACUAUUCAGCAGUGUGCUGCACUAUUUGCCUAGCCUCCGAGCGAGUUCGCAGACUCUCCGCACUGUCUCAAACCAAAAGCCUUGCUGCUGUCUCCACAACUUGGUGUGCUGCAGGUGCAGUCGUGCAAGUAAGGGUGAAACGUACAGAGCAGGAACGGAGCUGAUCCAUGCUGGAUUCAAGACUACAGUCGUUCAAUUCUUGACCCUUGACCAUCAUGCGAAUUCACUUAAAGCUGGCAAUGAGAGAGAGAAGGGAAAAGAGAAGUAUAACGGCAGAGACAUCCCUGAAUGAGAAGGUCAGAGCAAAUUAAAAUUGCAGGCGUUUCAUUUUUGCCGUUGGAGUAGGAAUACUGUGCGCUGUUAAGCAGCUGCCACGUUCCUCCCCAGAGAUGGCUGCAUUUCAGCGCUGGGUGAAUGGGUGACCUUGGAUUCUGGAAGCAGGUAUUCCCAUUUGAAGUCAACAGGAAAUCUGCCUUGCGGAGACUGCAGGAGUCAGGACUGUAAAGCAGCACUGAGAUCCAUUUAGUUGAAAAAUAACAACAAUUAUAGGUAUUAUUUCACCGUAUAAAUGAACAUCCGAUGCUUAGUUUCAUCUUUUGAAGAAGUAAACUCCCAGGAGGCUCCAGAGGAAAGGAAGACACUUAGAGGAGCCUGGAUACCGUUUCCCGAGGAGCAGAGGCGGCACACAUUUAUCAUAUUAAAACAAAAACCAAACAAACAGAAGGAAAGGAGGACCCAGCUCUCGGCAGCACUCACACCGACAGGAGCUGGUGGAGAAGCCAAUGGAAAGGAAAAUUCAGGCUUUGUCGAGCUCUUUGCAAUCUGAGAAAGGAGGGGAAAAACCAAAC
Molecule: long non-coding RNA, 1167 nt
Organism: Gavialis gangeticus (Gharial)
Lineage: Eukaryota; Metazoa; Chordata; Crocodylia; Gavialidae
Exons: 2
Source: RefSeq, a predicted model, not a curated record